AAGAUCAUACUUCACAGGAUCAUUUCUGUAGUAUGUUUGAUCGUUUUCUCAUUUAGAAAUCGAAAGUCUUUACAGCCAUGAUGAUGAGGUGUAGAGGCUGACUCAGAGCAUGAAAGGUGAUAUUGUAGAUUUAUAUCUGCAAUAUUUUUGAUGAUUGCUUAAUUUCCCUUAAGUGGGGUAAUUAACGAGUCAGACUCUUUCUGAGUGGU
This 209-nucleotide small nucleolar RNA is filed under the name Lepeophtheirus salmonis (salmon louse). RNAcentral describes it as "small nucleolar RNA U3". It matches the Rfam family "Small nucleolar RNA U3". From Rfam's summary of the family: Small nucleolar RNAs (snoRNAs) are involved in the processing and modification of rRNA in the nucleolus. There are two main classes of snoRNAs: the box C/D class, and the box H/ACA class. Lineage: Eukaryota; Metazoa; Arthropoda; Copepoda; Siphonostomatoida; Caligidae. The record is from RNAcentral.